GUUUCUCCGUGAAAAUUGUAGCCAAACUAUUUUUAACUUCAGAUCAUUGAUUUCACAUAUGUUUGAUAAGGUUUAAGAUGGGCUGAACAUUCUCUAUGAAGUAAUCCUAUAGAAAUUAUUUAUCUUGUACCAUUAAAAAUAAUUGGUGAUUCAAAUGAUACAUUUCUUUACAUAAAUAUAUCACUGCAAGUAGGGGCGAAGUUAGAAAUCUUGUAUGGGGGGUGAGAUAAGAUUAUAAAAUUUGUGGAGGCUCAAGUUUAAAAAUUUUCUAUUAAAAAUGUUUAAAGUAAAUUAAAUUAUUAAAUUUUCAAAGCUAGAAAUCACUGUAUUGCCUUAUUUGAGUAAUGGUAGGAUUUGCUCUCAAAAGUGGUGUCUCCCUGCUUGUCCGCAUCCCACAAGUCAUAAACAUGGAGGUAGGUCAUUAUCUUCACUACCUAAAUGUGGUAGAUUUCUUCAGCAAAAACAAGUGGAGGAGGGAGUGAGAAGUUUGCUGAAGACAUGUUUUACAACAACAACAUGUUUUACAACAACAAGAAACAAAGAAGCUUCUAUCAUUUUUAACAAGAAACAGAAACAAAAACAAUGACCCUUAAAGACAACACGCUCUUGAUAGCAAUUAUAGUAAUACUAUAAUUAUAGUUGUACAAGCCCAAUUUUGGGCCCAAAGCCCACUAAAUACCCACUACACCCAAAACAAAUAACCUACCCAAAUCACCCCAAAGACCCAAACCUACCCAUGCCCACACACACAACAAAAGAAAAAAGCUAAGGAAACCCUAGCCGUUCAGCACCUGCUCCCCAUCCCAUCCACCACCGACGUCUACAAGCACCGCCACUGUGCCACCGCCCCACUUGCGCCUGCAACAUUAAAAAAAGGAGAAUAGACAGAUAUUAAAAAAGGGAAAUGUAAUGGCUAUUUAAAAGCCAAAUCCAAAAACCAUGUAUUUUUCAGGCAUUUUCAGUAAAAAUAAAGAGCAAUAUUAGAUCGUAAAACAGAAGCAAAAAACAAAGAAACCCUAGCAAUAUCAAACAACAAAAUCAGUUCAAACAGAGAAAUAAACAUCUAAUAACCGAAGGUGAUUCAUCUUAAUCUUCUUGCUUUUUCUUUCUUUUUCACUUACUCUACUCACAUAUAUAUAUACGCUUUAAAAAUAUAUAUAUAAAAAUUUCUUACCUUUUUCGAUCUCCACGGUGGCCGGUACGGCGGACCUCACGGCGGCGCUAGGUCUGCACCUCGCCGGCUUCUGGGCCGACAGACCGAGGGAGAGAGAGAGGAUUCGGGGCUUUUUUGAAGGAGAGCAGAGGAGAA
This 1309-nucleotide long non-coding RNA is filed under the name Gossypium barbadense (sea-island cotton). Its description in RNAcentral is "long non-coding RNA (GBAR_LNC007919)". Lineage: Eukaryota; Viridiplantae; Streptophyta; Magnoliopsida; Malvales; Malvaceae. The record is from RNAcentral.